Molecule: RNA transcript, 2677 nt
Organism: Glossina fuscipes
Lineage: Eukaryota; Metazoa; Arthropoda; Insecta; Diptera; Glossinidae
Gene: PolI
Gene name: DNA polymerase iota
Exons: 3
Source: RefSeq, a predicted model, not a curated record
UUGAUUAUUUAACACGCGUUCGUCAUGAUUUGCUGCCUUAGGAGUGACAAAAUUAGGAGUUUGCUUUAUAAUGAAAUCUAAAAUUUCAACGAAGAUUAAUUAAAUGUUCUGUACAAUUUCCCAAUUGUAUUUCCAGCUGUCAUCUCUUAGGAGCGUAACAAUGGAUUUCACUAGCGCGCCCAACAGUAAACAAAGUGGACAUCAGCGCGCAAUCAUACAUUUAGAUAUGGACUACUUCUAUGCACAAGUUGAAGAAAUAAAAAAUCCCUCUUUAUGUUCUCAACCGUUAGGAGUACAGCAGAAGAACUUUGUAGUCACUUGCAAUUAUAAGGCUCGCUUUCACGGUGUAAAAAAAUUAAUGCUUGUUGCAGAUGCUAAGCGUUUAUGUCCCGAUUUAAUUUUAGUAAAUGGAGAGGAUCUGACACCUUAUCGUCAGAUGUCUCAAAAAAUAUAUGAACUACUUCUGAACUUUACAUCUUCGGUGGAAAAACUUGGACUGGAUGAGAACUUUAUGGACGUUUCUAUGUUGGUCGAGGAACGUAAACAGCAAAUGAAUACCGUCUGCAUGCCAAAUGCAAAUUUAUCCCCUGUUGAGGGCUUCAUUUAUCCCGCUGACGGUAUGAAUUUAAAUGCUUGUAGCUGUGGAUGCGCUUACCGUUUAACACUGGCCACUCAUAUCGCUCAAGAAAUAAGAAAAGAAUUGCAUGCCAAACUCGGCAUAACCUGCAGUGCAGGAAUUUCCUACAAUAAACUUCUUGCCAAACUUGUGGGUGCUCAAAAUAAACCAAAUCAGCAAACUGUUUUGGUGUCGUCUUACAGUGAGCAAUUUAUGCGUAAUUUGUGCGGGUUGCAUCGAGUAACAGGAAUUGGCCAAAAAACUGAAUGCCUUUUACUUGAGAGUGGCAUCGCCAAUAUUGAAGAAUUACAAGGCUGUGAUAUGGACAUACUCCGUAAGAAAUUUGGCUACGAAACUGCCAUAAAAUUGAAGGAUUUAGCUUUUGGUCGCGAUACGGGCACGGUAAGAACCACCGGAAAACCAAAAAGCAUUGGAUUGGAAGAUUCAUGCAAACCAAUAUCAGUACGAAAUGAAGUCGAGGAACGUUUUCGUUUAUUGCUAAUGCGUUUAAUGGAACAGCAGGUUGCUGAAGAUGGCCGCAUCCCAAUAUGCAUUAAAGUUAUUCUCCGUAAAUACGAUGCGCAGAAGAAAAGCAGUCACCGCGAAACAAAACAAGCUAACAUACUGCCGUCGCUCUUUAAGAUAACUCCAUGCACAGACACUGGCGGUGCAAAAGUGAUAUUUACGGAAGGAGCUCAAGAGAAGCUCUUGAAAAUCAUUAUGCGAUUGUUUGAGCGUGUGGUUGAUUUGGCUAAACCUUUUAAUAUUACUCUAAUUGGACUAGCUUUCUCCAAAUUUCAGCAACGCAAAAUAGGCUCUUCAUCCAUAGCAAAUUUUCUUAUCAAAAAGACUGAUUUGGAGGUCCAGUCUAUUACAUCGCUUAUUAAUACAGAUGUUGAAUCCUUUACGGAUAAUCUUUCACCGCUCUCCAGUAACUCAUCUGAGGCAUUCCGCUCUUCGCCGACCACGUUUCAGUCAAGCGAUCAAUUCUAUCGGCGACGAACAAUGACUGCUUCUCCAAUUCCGAUGUUAGUAGACAACGGAUCUGAAUCAGCCGCAACUAAUUCGGAUUUUUCCGAUUUCUCCGAAACGGAAGUUGAACCAUCUCCUAAGAAGACUCGUCUUGGACGUUUGCUUAUAAACAAGCGUCGUUGCCUAGGCAACUCUGCCCUUUCGAAUGAUACCACAGCUGACAUAGCUUCACCAAGUAAACUAAGAGUGUGCGAUUUGCGAUUGAAUUCCCGUGACAGCGACAGAGAUAUUCCUAUUAGUCCUAAUGCAAAUAUCAGCCAAAAUACCAUUUUUACAAAUAUUAGCACUUCAGGUGGCGUAACUCAAGUGCAUCCGCGUUUACCGGCUGCUCCACAAUCUGCUGUGUUACAUCAACGCGUUGAAACAUUUCAAGCAAACGACGUCCACAAUUGUAAUCCUCAAAAUUCCUUAUCAGCUGCAGCCUUUACAUUGCCAUCUUCAAUGGAUGACAAUAAUAUGGAUUCACCACCGCCUCAGGCCGUUCCAGCAUUAAAUUCAGAGAAACCAAAUAAAAAUGAAACGGAUUCGCAAACUUCUCCAAUAACAACUGAAAGUACAACGACGGGAGGUUUAUCGAAUGUACCAUGUCCAGCAGGGGUAGAUCCGCAAGUCUUCAAUGAACUGCCAGUAGAUGUACAAAAGGAGCUAAUCAAUUCGUGGCGUGAUUCCUUAGCAGCUGCUAUAUCGAAUGGUAACAUCUCACAGUUGGGUUCUCCCAAGGAAAUAUCGAAUGCGGACCACAGAGGCAUGAUUCCUCAGCACCAAAAGUCAGCCGGCAAUGCAACUGCCAAAACGGCUGUGGCCAAUGCUAAUGGAGUUCAGAAAAAUACCCUUUACCGAUACUUUUUACGCAAUAAGUGAUGCCGCCCUUGUAUGUACCAUGCUUCGUAUUAUUACUUGAAGAAAAAUUAUUGAACCAUUGAACGUGUGAUGUUUAAACAAGCAAUUGUAGAAUACUAAUAAGCACACACGCCAUAUUGACUUUUUGGAUGAAAACUGAACAGUAUUGCCAAAUGCAACAUUUUAUCC